GGGAAACUCGGAUUAAUACCCCAUGGUCCCGCAAGGUAAAGAUGGCUUCGGCUGUCGCUGCAGGAUUGGCUCGCGGCCUAUCAGCUUGUUGGUAAGGUAACGGCUUACCAAGGCGACGACGGGUAGCUGGUCUGAGAGGACGAUCAGUCACACUGGAACUGAGACACGGUCCAGACACCUACGGGUGGCAGCAGUCGAGAAUCAUUCACAAUGGGGGCAACCCUGAUGGUGCAACGCCGCGUGGAGGAUGAAGGUCCUCGGAUUGUAAACUCCUGUCAUCUGGGAGUAAGACCUGGGAGUCAAUAGCUCACAGGGUUGAUAGUACCAGAAGAGGAAGGGACGGCUAACUUCGUGCCAGCAGCCGCGGUAAUACGAAGGUCCCAAGCGUUGUUCGGAAUCACUGGGCGUAAAGGGUGCGUAGGCGGUAUGGUAAGUCAGAUGUGAAAUCCCAGGGCUCAACCCUGGAACUGCAUCCGAUACUGCCGUACUUGAGGACGGAGAGGAGACUGGAAUUCUCGGUGUAGCAGUGAAAUGCGUAAAUAUCGAGAGGAACACUCGUGGCGAAAGCGAGUCUCUGGACGGAUCCUUGACGCUUAAGCACGAAAGGCCAGGGUAGCGAAAGGGAUUAGAUACCCCUGUAGU
RNAcentral lists this ribosomal RNA (642 nucleotides) under uncultured Verrucomicrobiota bacterium. Its description in RNAcentral is "bacterial SSU rRNA". It matches the Rfam family "Bacterial small subunit ribosomal RNA", at positions 151 to 794 of the family's 1533-position model. Lineage: Bacteria; Pseudomonadati; Verrucomicrobiota. The record is from RNAcentral.